Molecule: transfer RNA, 71 nt
Filed under: Cleptes metallicorpus
Lineage: Eukaryota; Metazoa; Arthropoda; Insecta; Hymenoptera; Chrysididae
Description: tRNA-Ile
Source: RNAcentral
AAUAAAGUGCCUGAUAAAAGGGUUAUUUUGAUAGAAUAAUAUAUGUAUAUGUUUGUUUUAUAUCUUUAUUA